GGUGUAGGCGGUCUGUCAAGUCCGGUGUGAAAUCUCCCGGCCUAACUGGGAGGGUGCAUUGGAUACUGAUGGACUAGAGUGCAGCAGAGGGAAGUGGAAUUCCCGGUGUAGUGGUGAAAUGCGUAGAUAUCGGGAAGAACACUAGUGGCGAAGGCGGCUUCCUGGGCUGUAACUGACGCUGAGACCCGAAGGCGUGGGUAGCAAACAGGAUUAGAUACCCUGGUAGUCC
This 229-nucleotide ribosomal RNA is filed under the name uncultured bacterium. Its description in RNAcentral is "partial 16S ribosomal RNA". It matches the Rfam family "Bacterial small subunit ribosomal RNA", at positions 568 to 796 of the family's 1533-position model. The record is from RNAcentral.